RNAcentral lists this long non-coding RNA (1114 nucleotides) under Chloebia gouldiae (Gouldian finch). Its description in RNAcentral is "Erythrura gouldiae (Gouldian finch) lncRNA (ENSEGOG00005016342.1)". Lineage: Eukaryota; Metazoa; Chordata; Aves; Passeriformes; Passeridae. The record is from RNAcentral.
CCCAGAAGAAACAACUUGCAUGUUUGAAUUGGAGUAACUCCAUGACAAAUUAAUAAUCCUUACAGCCAAACAUUAUAUUUGCUGCCUUUCCUCUUCACAUCUUGUCUAUUCCCUUUCAUUACAGCUUCCAUCAAUGCAGUACCACAGACUUUGUUAAAACUCCCUGUAUGGAGAAGGUUCUUUCACAGCUGGAUACAUGUGCUGUACAUCCAAGUUGCUAUGAGAGCAUGAACACAGUGCUGGGAGGGAACUGUCACCUCUUCAAAGGUGCUCGGGGCAGGGAGCGAUGCACCAGCCUAGGUGAAGGGAGCAGGUGGAGGUGCGAGGUGGAUUUAGAUCUUACUCUGGAAGUACAAGGCAGGCUGAACCACUCUGCCAUCCCUCAUACGGUCCAUGCUCCAGCCCUAACCACUGCAAGGAUCUUCUCUGGUCACCAGAUAGAAUAUGCAUCUUCUUGCUUGUUCUUUAUGUGGCUUCACUGUAUUAUGGCUAAAUGGAGGUGACACCCUGGAAAGGGUGGGAAGAAAUGAAGAUCCACUGCUGGCUGCCAAGGGACAACAUUCCAUGCACUGCCAUGUUGUCAGUCAACUUUGGACAGAGGACAGCUGGUGACGCUGUGAGUUGAUAGGAGGCACGACUUUUAUACCAUGAAGUCCUCAGAAGCAAUUUUCUUUGUAAAGACGCUAAAAAUAUACUUUUUCAAAGGCUGAAAGAGUCCAAAGCCUUUAUGCGUCUUUCAGAGAUGCCUUCUCCAGGCCUCAAUUUCACAUGACUGUUCCAUUACCUAAGCAAAACAACACUUAAAAUGCUUUGGCCAUGGAGAAGGCAGCAUGUACAAGGAUGUUCAAGCAUGUUUUUGGUUUAUUAGUUCUACUACAGGCACUUGAGCAGAUGAAUGUAAGAGGAGAAACUUGCUUUAUAGCAAAGAAAGAGACCUACAGCAGUGACAAAUUAAUUUCCAUCCUGCCAUGACUCAUGACUCAGCGCUACAGUAAUAUUAACAAAACAUCAGUUAAAGUGGUAGUAAUUAUUUCCAUUGCUAAUGCUGACUCUGGCUUAACAACAUUUACUGACUUUGUUACACUGUCAUAAAAUAAACAGUAAUAUAGAAACA